UACAGAGGGGGCAAGCGUUGUUCGGAAUUACUGGGCGUAAAGGGCGCGUAGGCGGCCUUCUAAGUCGAACGUGAAAUCCCCGGGCUCAACCCGGGAACUGCGUCCGAUACUGGAAGGCUUGAAUCCGGGAGAGGGAUGUGGAAUUCCAGGUGUAGCGGUGAAAUGCGUAGAUAUCUGGAGGAACACCGGUGGCGAAGGCGACAUCCUGGACCGGUAUUGACGCUGAGGCGCGAAAGCGUGGGUAGCAAACAGG
Molecule: ribosomal RNA, 253 nt
Filed under: uncultured bacterium
Lineage: Bacteria
Description: partial 16S ribosomal RNA
Rfam family: Bacterial small subunit ribosomal RNA
Source: RNAcentral